GUGGGUGUAGCUCAGCUGGUUAGAGCGCCUGACUGUGGAUCAGGAGGUUCGGGGGUUCAAAUCCCCUCACCCACCCCA
This 78-nucleotide transfer RNA is filed under the name bacterium. RNAcentral describes it as "tRNA-His". It matches the Rfam family "tRNA". From Rfam's summary of the family: Transfer RNA (tRNA) molecules are approximately 80 nucleotides in length. Their secondary structure includes four short double-helical elements and three loops (D, anti-codon, and T loops). Further hydrogen bonds mediate the characteristic L-shaped molecular structure. tRNAs have two regions of fundamental functional importance: the anti-codon, which is responsible for specific mRNA codon recognition, and the 3' end, to which the tRNAs corresponding amino acid is attached (by aminoacyl-tRNA synthetases). tRNAs cope with the degeneracy of the genetic code in two manners: having more than one tRNA (with a specific anti-codon) for a particular amino acid; and 'wobble' base-pairing, i.e. permitting non-standard base-pairing at the 3rd anti-codon position. The record is from RNAcentral. RNAcentral also lists the same sequence under 1 other name.